Molecule: transfer RNA, 63 nt
Filed under: Philander frenatus (Southeastern four-eyed oppossum)
Lineage: Eukaryota; Metazoa; Chordata; Mammalia; Didelphimorphia; Didelphidae
Description: tRNA-Lys
Source: RNAcentral
CAUUUUUGAGUUAUCUUCAUAUAUUUAAUAUAAGCGAGACUUAAAAGUCUCCUCAAAACUACC